GGGCAUAGUCCGGAAGAGCCAACCAUUGUUCAAAACCUUGUUACUUCCUCCUUUCUCUCUUAUUUCUACGCCACAAAAAGCACAAAUCGACACUAACAGUAGACCUCAAAUCAGCGAAGACUAUUUGGUUCCUAAAUCAACCGAUCUCAUUUAUCUAGACGUCACAACUGUAUACGAAAGUAACGAAGCAUUCUGAUGAACAUGAAGUAUUUACUUGAGGAACAAAACAAAUUAGUACAGGCUAUAAAGAGAAAGGACUGGCCAGCAGUAAGAAACAUCCUGGAAAAUGAACCGUACCUUAAUGAAACUUUUGAUGAGGUAAGUACUCAGUUGCUACUAAAUUUAUGAUCCACUCCAGAUGUGAUUUUUAGUAAAUUAUUCAUAAAAUAUUAUAUACUAUUACCUCGGGCUAACGAAUCUCACAAAUAUAUUCCCAUAAUAUGUUUUGCUUUUUAUUAAAAAAAAAA
RNAcentral lists this long non-coding RNA (467 nucleotides) under Anneissia japonica. Its description in RNAcentral is "uncharacterized LOC117118326". The record is from RNAcentral. Lineage: Eukaryota; Metazoa; Echinodermata; Crinoidea; Comatulida; Comatulidae.